Molecule: transfer RNA, 71 nt
Filed under: Loxodonta africana (African savanna elephant)
Lineage: Eukaryota; Metazoa; Chordata; Mammalia; Proboscidea; Elephantidae
Rfam family: tRNA
About the family: Transfer RNA (tRNA) molecules are approximately 80 nucleotides in length. Their secondary structure includes four short double-helical elements and three loops (D, anti-codon, and T loops).
Source: Rfam by way of RNAcentral
GCAAUGGUCAUUCAGUGGUAGAAUUCUCACCUUUCACGUGGGAGACCCAGUUUCGAUUUCUGGCCAGUGCA